RNAcentral lists this long non-coding RNA (3721 nucleotides) under Equus asinus (donkey). RNAcentral's name for it is "lncRNA (ENSEASG00005032033.1)". Lineage: Eukaryota; Metazoa; Chordata; Mammalia; Perissodactyla; Equidae. The record is from RNAcentral.
UACCCAAAAUAUCUACAGUGCUUUCUAAUUCCUGCGCUAAACUUUGAAUGAUGCUGUAGGGUAAGUGCCUGACAAUUAGCUUUUUUUGUUGUAAUGUAAGUGCCUGACACUAAGCUUUUGGUUGCCAUUUCACAGACAUCCAUCUCAAAUAAACAUAUUGCCAGCUACACAACCAGAUGAGCCAGGCAGCCCCAGCCAUGGAUUUCCCCUUUUAGAAAGCCCUGAGUGACCUAGAUAACUGACCACUUGAGUGACCCUGAUUCCCUUCCUGUGCUUUAAUUCCUGCUCUUAUGUUUUAAAUUCACCCAUAAAGAGAGAACCCAUGAAACCCUUGGCACCCCACUCUCCACCCCAGUAAAGGCAGAACCCAAGGUCUGUGCUCUCUCCUUACCCAUGACCUCGGUGUGUGGCUUUCGGGCAUGCCGUGUACCCUCCAGGGCUUGUGAGUAAUAAGCCUUGUUUUCUCAAAGUUCCCUGUUGGUUGUUGUGAGGUGCAUCUUGUAAUCAUAGUAAGAGCCACAAGGGCUGGUCCAGCUACAACAUUGGCUCCAGUGUGGGGAGUAGAGGUUCACCACAAGUAGUAGGGCCCAGGCGAGUGCUGCCAGGCAGUCCUAGAAAACAGCAUCCGUAUAGGCUGACACAAAACAGAUACUCAUCAGAUAGCUCACCCUUCCUCACUGGUGAGGAAUAAAGGGGGGCAAGAGGGCAAGAGUCUUUAGGGAAGACUUAAAACCAGAAAGAGGGAAGCAGCAUUUCCCCGUGCCACUCUUCAACACCCAACACUGCACUUUUCGUCAAGUCCCUCCUGCCCCUCCCCACCGAGCUACUUUCUUGGUUAUCUUUCAGGUCUCAGCAAAAACAUGGCCCCCUCCUGGAAGCCUUGUCUGCUCCCCCAGACUAGGUUAGAACCCCCUUACUCACUCUCAUAGCACUCUACCUGCACUUUGUAAUCCUCAGUCUCCUUGUGAUUAUGUCCUGUGUUCCUGGUACAUCGUAGGCCUUCAGUUAUGCAGUGGUUGGCUGGCUGAUUGGCAUUCCAUGGUGGGAAUGGGGAACCAACACAGUGCGCCUCCUCCACAUUGUGAAGUGCAGCCGCUGAGCUGCAGGCUUGGUCUACAUGAGUUUGCGCUAUUGCAGGCAGCUACCUACCUCAUUUGCUGUGACUGGGAUUUCCACAGUCAAUGAUGAUACCCACUUUUUGCCUUAUCUGUUCAUGAAAAUUAGUCACAUUUCCUUAUUUUUAAAAACUUGGCCUUUUCAUUUGUGCUGCUCUCUUUCCAACUCUCUUGGCAGAUGUGGCUCACUGUAGCAGGAUUCUUGGGAACAGUGUCUUCAGUUAUGCCAAGAAGAAUGGCAUUUCUCACAAGGAAGUGUGCCGCUGACUUAGAGCUGUCUGUUGCAAGGUUAGUGGGACUUUAUGGAGGUCCCUAUCUAUGCUGUAGUGUAGAUAACUGAGAAGGUUGUAGAUUGAAUGUGCCAAAACUAAGAGCCUUCUCUGUCUUAAAAUGGAUUUGUCUUAUAACUUGGGCCACUUCAACUGCCCAGAUGGGUCUUCUGUGACUGCACCCCAACCCUGACCUCGUCCCCGGAUUAUGAAAGCUCUCUGUGCUCACAGCACACUUGGUGCAGUCUCUGACAGGACUGACUCCCUCAAAUCAUCAUUAUCUGUUUUUUCACCUGUUUUCCCCGUCAGGUUAUAGAGCUCUUCAAGGGAACAGAGUGUGUCCUGCUCAUCUUUACAUCCCAAGUACUUGACCCAAGGCCUUACACAUAAAGAACACUUGUAUUUCCUAUAAAAGUUUCUGGUGAUUGGAGCUUCUGGAUUGGUGAAUACAUCAAGAUUCUGGGAGGGUGAUGUUCCAGGAGAGGGCAUGGGAGCUCCACGUUCCUCCUCCCAUACCUUGCCCUAUGCAUCUCUUCCACUGUUCCUGAGUUGUAUCCUUUAUAAUAAUAAUAGUCACAGUAAGUAAAGCACUUUCCUGAGUUCUUUGAGUCAUUCUAGUGAAUUAUCGAGUCUUGGAGAGGGGACUGUGGGAACCCCCAAAUUUGUAGCCAAGUCAGAUCCUGUCCACCCUGUUUGCAACUGGUGUCUGAAGUGAGGGCAGUCUUAUGGGACUGAGCCCUUAGCCCUGUGGAGUCUGAUGCUAACUCUGGAUAGUUAGUGUCAGAAUGGAAUUGAAUUGUAGGAUGCCUAGUUGAUGUCAAAGAAUCAGAGAAUUGGCUGUUGUGUGGAAAGCCUCCACACAUUUGGUAUCAGAAGUAUUGUGAGUAAAAACAGCGCUUUUGGUGUUAGAAAAUGUGGGAUUCGCUAAAACAGCCCGUGCCCACUGAAACAUGUGGUUCAGGAAGAAAAAGAAUUAAAGGAUGCAGGAUGAGAAACCUUUGAUUCCUGGGUGGCCACGUGGCCACUCAUAGGGUGGUGCAGCAGCUGUGCUGCAAUAAGUUACUAAAGGUAAAAGUUACUAAGGGAAUGUAGAGUUGGAUCCACUUCCCAGGGAGUUGGUUCAUUGGAUGUAUAAGAAAUACAAGCAAAUAAGAAAAAAGCAAAAUAUACAGUCCGUUGGUUAUUGGUAUCUAUAAUAGCUAAAAUAAAUUAAAAGAGUGCUAGGUCAGAUCUUGAUGCUGAACCAAACUCAGAUUUCGAUCAGUCUGAGCUUCAGUCACUAGCGUCAAAGCCACCUGCAAAAGGAAGGAUUAAGCAAGACAACAGAGAGUACCCCUAAUACCCCUGGUCACCAAGAAGAUGGUCCUCGCUGAGGGAGGGCAAAACCAAAAAACUAUUGAAACCAGGAGGUACAGUGUGAAGGAGCUGUUGAAACCGGAAAACAAUCAUUGACGAUUAAGUAUCUAGGUAUUAAAGUUUUUUCCUUUUUGCAAUUACUGAUUAUAGCUUUUAGCUGUUUCACCCACCCAUUGUUAACUGUGCUGCUUAGGCAAUAUGCUAUCUGACUCCCACUAGGCUCCUACAGAGAACAUCUUCCUGGAGCCUGGGUCACCAUGGUAAUGGGUGUGUGAGCUGUUUUUCAGGAAUUAGAACUCCUUGUCCACUCCAGGCUGGUUGAGACCACCAACUCAUCAACUGGGCCCACAGAGAUGUCCAAUAAGCGACCUUUUGAUGUCAAGACGCUAAAAACUCCACCCUCAGAUCAUGCUAAUAACACCGUCAUUUUGUAAACAUGGGUCCUAUGAAGAGGCAUGAAGUCUGACUACACUUGCGCAGAUCAUCAAUUACCUCAUCUCUCCUCACCUCCAAUCACCUCUCUCCACAUUUCAGACCACCUUGCCCCCCCCAUCCCAUAAAUAUCCCUGAGCCCCUAUUUUCAGGGAAGUGAAUUUGAGGCUCAUGCUCUCGCUUCCUCACAUGGCUGCCUUGUGAGUAAACCCUCUCUCUGCUGCAAUCUUGUCUCAGUGUUUGGCUUUCUUGGUGGCGGGCAAAAACAAACCUGGUUUGGUAACACUGUUGCAUUUGUGGGUUGGUAUCAUCAGCUUCUUGAAGAACCUUUACUGAAGUGAAUUGUGAGAGUGACUAAUCUAGGGGCAGUGUCUUUGGUUUUGAAUGCCGCAGAGUAGAAGAGCAUGUUUGGGCUGAUGUAGGACACACGGCUCACUGUGGAACAAUCGCAGAUGGCUGUACGUGGUCCAGACACAUCCCAGGUUAUUCCCGAGGAAACAGCCAGCCUGAUGUAAUCCACCGGAAGGUCUGUUUACCCUGGGAAGAGGG